UACGGGAGGCAGCAGUGGGGAAUAUUGCACAAUGGGGGAAACCCUGAUGCAGCCAUGCCGCGUGUGUGAAGAAGGCCUUCGGGUUGUAAAGCACUUUCAGUAGGGAGGAAGGUAGUGUAGUUAACACCUGCACUAUUUGACGUUACCUACAGAAGAAGCACCGGCUAACUCCGUGCCAGCAGCCGCGGUAAUACGGAGGGUGCGAGCGUUAAUCGGAAUUACUGGGCGUAAAGCGCAUGCAGGCGGCCUGUUAAGUCAGAUGUGAAAGCCCGGGGCUUAACCUCGGAAUUGCAUUUGAAACUGGCAGGCUAGAGUCUUGUAGAGGGGGGUAGGAAUUUCAGGUGUAGCGGUGAAAUGCGUAGAGAUCUGAAGGAAUACCAGUGGCGAAGGCGGCCCCCUGGACAAAGACUGACGCUCAGAUGCGAAAGCGUGGGGAGCAAACAGGAUUAGAUACCCUGGUAG
RNAcentral lists this ribosomal RNA (462 nucleotides) under uncultured bacterium. Its description in RNAcentral is "bacterial SSU rRNA". It matches the Rfam family "Bacterial small subunit ribosomal RNA", at positions 340 to 793 of the family's 1533-position model. The record is from RNAcentral.